This is a long non-coding RNA of Carassius gibelio (silver crucian carp), 3301 nucleotides long. RefSeq lists it as uncharacterized. The record is from RefSeq and is a predicted model, not a curated record. NCBI's taxonomy places the organism in Eukaryota, Metazoa, Chordata, Actinopteri, Cypriniformes, Cyprinidae. The transcript has 4 exons.
UAUAUUUUAAUUUCGCUUUUGAUUACAUGAUACAUUACUUGUAAUAGGCUCAUAUUUAACUGUAUUUUUACACAAGCAUUUCCACAUUGUAUUAUUUGAAGAGCAUCACAAAUCAUUGAUCUAUUUAUUUACUUGUUCAUGUGCCUAAACUCAAACAAGCUCAACCUACCACGUGAUGUGUGAAAACAAACCUCAUUGGAUUUGUGGAAGCUCAGGCGCGUUUGUUUAACACGUGUUAAGCCCAAGAGAAGCAUGUCUGAGUUUCCGCUUACCAGUUCUGCUGUGCGUAUGUAUGUGCAUUGAUGGAUGUGAAUAAAAGUCUCAAUUAAAGCUGUUAAGUCAUAUAGAGUGAUCAUGUCUCUUCAGAGGACUUGGAAGAAACCACUUGAUUCAUAUGGAUUAUUUUUGCGAUGUUUUUGUCUGUGAUUAACUUUUUGAAACAUAAGCGUUUUGGGUGUCUUUCAGCAGAAGGACAUAAAUCUGUCCGAUUUCAUUAAAAUAUCUCAGUUUUGGUUUCAAAGGUGAAUGAAAGUCUUUGAACUUUGGAAAAGGGUUUGGAACAACAUGAAGAGCUUAAACUGUAUGAAGGGCUCAGAAGGUUUUGAUUAUAUUACCCAUCAGAUCAGCUUCUGUUCAAUAGAAGACACAUUUAAAUCAGAUCAGAGAGACAAGCAAAGAGAGUGACCCUGUGAUGAAGAACAUUUUAAAGACCAUAGUAUCUGAAUUACAUGCCCCGAGAUACAGAAAAUGCAACACGUCAUACUCAAAGAAAAGUGACUCUCCACUUGAAGAUGAAGAUGGUGACAUUUCUAUUUUCUGUUUCUUUGUUAUGUUCUGCCAUUUGCAGAAUUAAUUUGUAAAAAAAAAAAAAAAACAUUAUUCACUUCUCCACUUUACUGUUUUUUGGUAACGUCUUUGUGUGUGUGUGUGUGUGUGUGUGUGUGCUUGUGUGUGUGUGCAGAAAAUUUAAUUAUGCAUUGUUAUUCAAUGAAAGAGUAUUCAUAGUGUACUUUCAAGUAAUAUAGGGAUAAAAUAACAUUUCUGCAAAUUGAAGUAUUUCUGUUAUACCAUCUCACUGGUCUUUAUUUAUUUAUUAUAAUUUAUUAUAAUUUACUAUAAUUAUUUUGACUAUUUGUCAAGAGUUUAUAUAUGUUGCUGUACUUUUUAAAUGUACUCAAUGGAUUUAUUGGUGUAAUGUACACAAUAUAUUUUGUUGUAAAAGUAUAUUAAAAGUUUUCUAGAUGUGAAAGUGUGUGUACGUGCUCGUCGUUAAUUUAAUGAGUGUUGUACUUUUUAAUAUACCAUAUAAGAUUGCUGAAAAAUAGCUUUAUAACAAAUUAAUAGUGUACUAGGAAUGCAAAUGAAGUACAUUAAAGUGAAGCUUAAAAUAUAUAACUGUACCUCAAGAAGUAUAACAUUAUUUUAAAUAAAGUAAAGAAGUAUAAUUAAGUUACACUAAAGAUACUUGAAAUUGUUCAAUUUUAACACAACUAAACAGCUUGAUAAAGUUGAUAUGAAGCAUAUCUUAAAGUAUCUUAGUCGUUCCAAAAAAACAUUUAUUAUGCACUCAGUAUACUAUCAUAAAAAUAUAAUAAGUUUUAAAUAUAAAUAUAAUAAUAAAUAUAAAUAACUAUAUAUAUAGUAACUUAAUAAUAAGUUACUCAAUAUUAGUACAACUAAGUAUAUUUUUUAUUUAACUGGGUUGUCAUUGACCAAUUUACUGAACCUCAUGCCAUUCCAAACAUGGAAGACUUUUAUUUUUGGAUAUUUGGAAUUGUUUUGAAGUCUAUAACCAUAUUUGUGCUUUAUAUUUUUACAACAUACAGUACGAUUCUAUUUUCUAAUUUUUUUAUAUUGAUACACUGUGCGGCUGUCUGAAAGUGGGACUGAUUUUUGGCAAUGCCUUGCAGUAUGUGUGUGAGUUUGUGUACGUGCAAGACUGAUUUACACCGCUAUCUCGAGAUCACACGUGCGUCUACAUCUGAUGCCAGUUUAUAAUGAGUGCUGUGUGAUAAAAAUGGAGAGAUGUGAGACAAAUUCAUAAUGAGCAGCGUGUAAAACUAUGUGUGUUGCAGAAGUGUUGGUCUGCAGCUGAGCUGAUUCUUAAUUGAUUUCAUAGGGAACUGAAGCUGAGGGGUCUUGUAAUAGUGUGUGUGUAUGUGUGUGUGUGACUGGGGAUGGGGGAAACAUUUUAAUAAUUAAUAAUAGAAUCUGCAGAUGAAAAGCGUGAGACACUUUACAUAACGGUGCAGCAGGGUUCUGAAAGCCAAGAUGGUUUCCUAAUGCUUACCCAGAGCCUUUCCGAACGCUGAGCUCACUUUGUCACUUUUACUCAAUUAAUGAAUCAGAGUUUCUACCUGCCUUAUUACAACACAUAUUAAAAGAAACUCAUGUUCAUGCUGUUAUUGGUUUUUCUUUGUUGAAGUCAGCAUGACCUUUCUAUUGUACAGAAUUCCACCAUGUUAGCUUAGCAACUUGUUUCUCUGACUAUUAAAACUAGUUUCAGAACUAUAAUAGUAUGUGUGUAGCACAGUUUCAUAUACUGUAUACAUACAUAUACAGGUCCAAAAGUCUGAGAUGACAUUGACAAUCUUGGUCUGAGUUUACAUGACACACUGGUUAAUUGAAUAUUUUUAAAGAUUGAAAACACAUCGCACCUUACUUCUCUUUUCUAGCCAGCACACAAGGCCAAUCAUAGUCUGCCAUUUUGGCAUUCCUAUAGCUCAUCCAGCAGAGAGCGGCACUAGCAAUGCCAAGGUCAUGGGUCUGAUUCCCAGGGAAUGCAUGAAUGGAUCAAAUUGUUUUUAAAAGUCACUUUGUCUGACAAAUGCAAAAAUGUACAGUUGAAAUUAUUCUGGUGCAUUUGUCUUUAGAAGCCAAGAUUCUAUUCUCCUCUGAUCUGAAGUUAAAAUUCGAUUGUGUUAUUUUCUGAAAUUAAGAGUCUAUUAAUUUAUGAACUUUUUUUUUCUGAAGUAAAGAUUAUGUUCUGAAGAAUGUGUUAUGAAUGUAUUUGAAGUUAUUGUUGUUUUUUUUACUUAAGCUUCUGUUCUGUUCUGCUCUGUUCUUAAGUUAAGAAUCUCUUCUGUUCUGAAGUUUAAAAAUGUGUUCUAUUCUAUUCUGAAGUCAAUAUUCUGUACUAAAGUUAAGAAAUCAAACUGGAAAGCAUUUAUUGUAGUGGAAAUAAGUACCAUUGGCCUUCCCUUUGUGGUGAUAAAAGAUAUUCAGUGGAUUUAUCUGGCUCGUGGUCAUGGGUUACAUUCUAUCCACGUUGACUCACUUACAUUAUAACCUGCUCUUUGAC